CAGCCGAGGGCGGCCUGAGUCCGGCGCAGGUGACCGGCGCGCGGGAGCGCUACGGCCCCAACGAGCUCCCGAGUGAGGAAGGGAAGUCCCUGUGGGAGCUGGUGCUGGAACAGUUUGAGGACCUCCUGGUGCGCAUCCUGCUGCUGGCCGCCCUUGUCUCCUUUGUAAGUAGGGCCCUGCCUGCCAUCCCGUGGUAGUGGGUAGCCCUGGAGGGAGAGCCAGGCUGGGCA
RNAcentral lists this small RNA (230 nucleotides) under Pongo abelii (Sumatran orangutan). RNAcentral's name for it is "retained intron". The record is from RNAcentral. Lineage: Eukaryota; Metazoa; Chordata; Mammalia; Primates; Hominidae.